GUUGUCUUGAAAGCACCAUAAAUCCAGAGAAUGCCAGACUUUCAUGCCAAAGUUUGUCCACAAAGGACCGCCACGCCACCUUCCUGUUCAAGUGAGCACAGCACAACAAGUCCCUGCUGCUCCCGUGCCCUUCGACGCUCUUCAGGAAAGUCAGCUCUUUGAUUCAGAGCCUCUGAUCCCCACCGGAGGGCGCUAUUUAUCCACCAACGGCCAGCCCAGAACCAGGAGCCCCCAGGAGAUCGCAGUACCACCGAACCCCACACGGAGGCACUAAUGGCACAGCGCAGCCCCCACAACGCCACAGACACAGAGGGACAGAGGCCUCCAUCAUCUUUGGGGAUGAAAGCAGCUCCUCUGACCACAGUGACUUGGAAAGCUCCGUCAGCCCUCUGCGGGCUGUCUGCCCACGCCUACGUUUCCCAGCAGCCCUCACUCCACAGGAAGUGCCCCCAGUCAGGAAACAAGCUCUUCUGUUCUUGAAGCGAGAUAAGCUGCAGCCCUCUCUGUCUUCGGGAAGAAGGAGUACAACAGUGCCAAGACCCGCCUCCCAGAACCAGUUCCGGUGUUGUCCAAUAGCAGGCCAGCGCUUGUUCCUGAGGAUGAAAAUCUGAUAGACGAUUGACUGGAGGAUGAUAUGGUGUCGUCGUCUACCAUUAGGGGUUUCUCACUGAGGAAGACCGACAACGACCCCCGAUCUUCCACGCCGCCCCAGAACCACCACAGCACUCAGCAGCCUAACAACCCGCUGCCUGUAGCAACACCACCUCCUACUGGCCAGCACCUUGGCAGGUAAACAGCAGCACCACCUCCUACUGGCCAGCACCUUGGCAGGUAAACGGCAACACCACCUCCUACUGGCCAGCACCUUGGCAGGUAAACGGCAACACCACCUCCUACUGACCAGCUCCUUGGCAGGUAAACAGCAGCACCACCUCCUACUGACCAGCACCUUGGCAGGUAAACAGCAACACCACCUCCUACUGGCCAGCACCUUGGCAGGCACAGGGCACCUGAAGGCAGUGAAUCUGUCCCAUAAUGCCCUGGGCUCUAUGGGCUUUGAGUUGGUCCUGAAGACUCUGCCUCUCCACUGUCUCACACACCUCCUUCUGUCUGCCAUCCGCUGUGAACCCGCUGACCACCCUGCUUUAGAACAUCUGAGGUCAGUCCUCCUGUCCCAGGAUGACUGCUCCCUUACAGUAGGCCUAUAGUAGUUACAGUAGGCCUAUAGUAGUCAAUUGGUUCUCAGUCUGACUCUCAGGCUCUCAGUCCCUCUAAUUUGUUCCCUCUCUCUCUUUCUUCAGGUUGUCAGGCAGCCGGACCCUGGGACAACUCUAGUUUGGACGGCCUGUCAGAACAGGUCCAGGACCUGUGGCUGUGGCUGUGCUCACAGAAGCUCAACAAACUGGACCGUGAGGCGCUGCAGCAGACAUGGGGCCAGAGGAGGUUAACUCCCAAGUGGCGCAGUGGUCUAAGGCACUGCAUCGCAGUACUAGCUGUGCCACUAGAGAUCCUAGUUCAA
Coregonus clupeaformis (lake whitefish) is the source of this 1519-nucleotide long non-coding RNA. RefSeq lists it as uncharacterized. The record is from RefSeq and is a predicted model, not a curated record. The transcript has 7 exons. Lineage: Eukaryota; Metazoa; Chordata; Actinopteri; Salmoniformes; Salmonidae.